Molecule: ribosomal RNA, 602 nt
Filed under: Virgibacillus dokdonensis
Lineage: Bacteria; Bacillati; Bacillota; Bacilli; Caryophanales; Bacillaceae
Description: bacterial SSU rRNA
Rfam family: Bacterial small subunit ribosomal RNA
Source: RNAcentral
GUGCCAGCAGCCGCGGUAAUACGUAGGGGGCAAGCGUUGUCCGGAAUUAUUGGGCGUAAAGCGCGCGCAGGCGGUCCUUUAAGUCUGAUGUGAAAGCCCACGGCUUAACCGUGGAGGGCCAUUGGAAACUGGAGGACUUGAGUACAGAAGAGGAGAGUGGAAUUCCACGUGUAGCGGUGAAAUGCGUAGAGAUGUGGAGGAACACCAGUGGCGAAGGCGACUCUCUGGUCUGUAACUGACGCUGAGGUGCGAAAGCGUGGGUAGCGAACAGGAUUAGAUACCCUGGUAGUCCACGCCGUAAACGAUGAGUGCUAGGUGUUAGGGGGUUUCCGCCCCUUAGUGCUGAAGUUAACGCAUUAAGCACUCCGCCUGGGGAGUACGGCCGCAAGGCUGAAACUCAAAAGAAUUGACGGGGACCCGCACAAGCGGUGGAGCAUGUGGUUUAAUUCGAAGCAACGCGAAGAACCUUACCAGGUCUUGACAUCCUCUGACACCCCUAGAGAUAGGGCAUUCCCUUCGGGGACAGAGUGACAGGUGGUGCAUGGUUGUCGUCAGCUCGUGUCGUGAGAUGUUGGGUUAAGUCCCGCAACGAGCGCAACCCU